Molecule: ribosomal RNA, 449 nt
Filed under: uncultured bacterium
Lineage: Bacteria
Description: partial 16S ribosomal RNA
Rfam family: Bacterial small subunit ribosomal RNA
Source: RNAcentral
AACGAACGCUGGCGGCAGGCUUAACACAUGCAAGUCGAACGGGCCCUUCGGGGUCAGUGGCAGACGGGUGAGUAACGCGUGGGAACGUGCCCUUCAGUUCGGGAUAACCCAGGGAAACUUGGGCUAAUACCGGUUACGUGCGAGAGCAGAAAGAUUUAUCGCUGAAGGAUCGGCCCGCGUCUGAUUAGCUGGUUGGUGGGGUAAUGGCCCACCAAGGCGACGAUCAGUAGCUGGUCUGAGAGGAUGAUCAGCCACAUUGGGACUGAGACACGGCCCAAACUCCUACGGGAGGCAGCAGUGGGGAAUAUUGGACAAUGGGCGCAAGCCUGAUCCAGCCAUGCCGCGUGAGUGAUGACGGCCUUAGGGUUGUAAAGCUCUUUCGCACGCGACGAUAAUGGCGGUAGCGUGAGAAGAAGCCCCGGCUAACUUCGUGCCAGCAGCCGCCGUAA